ACCUUUUGCUUUUGACUUCACAUCCAUUUCUUUCACCUGGGGAAAAUUCUGGAGCCCCAGGAGAGGAAAUGGAAGUGAGGUGAGAGCAGCACCUCCAGUCUGUGU
Molecule: non-coding RNA, 105 nt
Organism: Canis lupus familiaris (dog)
Lineage: Eukaryota; Metazoa; Chordata; Mammalia; Carnivora; Canidae
Source: RefSeq, marked provisional